Molecule: long non-coding RNA, 726 nt
Filed under: Rattus norvegicus (Norway rat)
Lineage: Eukaryota; Metazoa; Chordata; Mammalia; Rodentia; Muridae
Description: long non-coding RNA NONRATT032269
Source: RNAcentral
GCUGAGUAUAAUACUCUGUUUAUUUUAGAGCUAAUCUUAGAUGAGAUGACAUAGGAGAAGAACAACAGUAAUAAUAAUUGUCUUGGCCACCCUCAAGUUGACCAUGUGAAUGCAAAAGAAUCUUUUCCUGGGGACAGUUAUUUACCCUUCGUCAUGUUGAUUUGUCAUGGAACCCAGAGAUGAUCUAGAUGAUCUCACAGAGAACUCAAAGGACUUUAUGUGUGGUAUUUUUUCAGAACAUAUAUCUGCAGUAAAAUAUACAAAAAGACACUCCAGAUACUUGAGCACUGUGCUGACGGAGAUCCACCUUGUGAAGUUUCCACUAGUGAAUAGUGGUUAUGCGAGGAGCAGAUGUAUUUGAACAUGCCGAGAUGGUGCUGAAAGUGAAGAAGGAAGUUCCUGCCCCUCCCAAAGCCGAAGCCAAAGUGAAGGCCUUGAAAGCUAAGAAGGAAUUGCUAAAAGGUGUCCACGGCCACAAAAAGAAGAAGAUCCAUAUGUCACACACUUUCUGGUGGCCCAAGACCCUGCAGCUCUGGAGGCAGCCAAAAUAUCCUAGAAAGAGUGUACCCAAGCUUAACCACUAUGCUCUCAUCAGAUUCCCAUUGACCACUGAGUCAGCUAUGAUGAAAAUAGAGAACAACAUGCUUGUGUUCAUUGUGGAUGUGAAGGCCAACAAGCAGCAGGUCAAACAGGGCAUGAAGAAACUCUAUGACAUUGAUGUAGCCA